Molecule: unclassified non-coding RNA, 224 nt
Filed under: uncultured fungus
Lineage: Eukaryota; Fungi
Description: sequence contains ITS1
Source: RNAcentral
UUAAUGAUUAAAAAUCACACUCAGACUGACACUCGAUUCACUCAGGGUUCAAUGGGGUCUCCGGCGGGCGCGGGCCCGGGGGGUUUCACGCCCCCAGGCGACCAGGAACAAGGCCCCCGAUGGGCCCGCCGAAGCAACACGGUACAGUUAAACACGGGUGGGAGGUUGGGCCCGCAAGGGACCCUCACUCGGUAAUGAUCCUUCCGCAGGUUCACCUACGGAAA